AAGUCGUAACAAGGUCUCCGUUGGUGAACCAGCGGAGGGAUCAUUACUGAGUUCUACAAAACUCCCAACCCUUUGUGAAUUAUACCUUAGUUGCCUCGGCGUCGAGCGAGUCACCUACCCGGGAGCUACCCUGGAGUCACCUACCCUGUAGAACCUACCCUGUAGGACCUACCCUGUAGACGGCUACCCUGGAGCUACCCUGUAGUUGCACUUUCGCGUCGCCGGUGGACUACCAAACUCUUAUAUGUAUAGUGUAUCUCUGAAUUCUUAACAAAAUUAGUUAAAACUUUCAACAACGGAUCUCUUGGUUCUG
Molecule: unclassified non-coding RNA, 313 nt
Filed under: Hypoxylon carneum
Lineage: Eukaryota; Fungi; Ascomycota; Sordariomycetes; Xylariales; Hypoxylaceae
Description: partial internal transcribed spacer region
Rfam family: Eukaryotic small subunit ribosomal RNA (bases 1-46)
Source: RNAcentral